GAUGAACGCUGGCGGCGUGCCUAAUACAUGCAAGUCGAGCGAACAGACGAGGAGCUUGCUCGUCUGACGUUAGCGGCGGACGGGUGAGUAACACGUGGAUAACCUACCUAUAAGACUGGGAUAACUUCGGGAAACCGGAUCUAAUACCGGAUAAUAUAUUGAACCGCAUGGUUCAAUAGUGAAAGACGGUUUUGCUGUCACUUAUAGAUGGAUCCGCGCCGCAUUAGCUAGUUGGUAAGGUAACGGCUUACCAAGGCGACGAUGCGUAGCCGACCUGAGAGGGUGAUCAGCCACACUGGAACUGAGACACGGUCCAGACUCCUACGGGAGGCAGCAGUAGGGAAUCUUCCGCAAUGGGCGAAAGCCUGACGGAGCAACGCCGCGUGAGUGAUGAAGGUCUUCGGAUCGUAAAACUCUGUUAUUAGGGAAGAACAAAUGUGUAAGUAACUAUGCACGUAUUGACGGUACCUAAUCAGAAAGCCACGGCUAACUACGUG
Molecule: ribosomal RNA, 497 nt
Filed under: uncultured bacterium
Lineage: Bacteria
Description: partial 16S ribosomal RNA
Rfam family: Bacterial small subunit ribosomal RNA
Source: RNAcentral